RNAcentral lists this ribosomal RNA (245 nucleotides) under uncultured bacterium. Its description in RNAcentral is "partial 16S ribosomal RNA". It matches the Rfam family "Bacterial small subunit ribosomal RNA", at positions 88 to 334 of the family's 1533-position model. The record is from RNAcentral.
AUGGCGACCGGCGCACGGGUGAGUAACGCGUAUGCAACCUACCCGAUACCGGGGUAUAGCCCAUGGAAACGUGGAUUAACACCCCAUAGUACUUUUAUCCUGCCUGGGAUGUGAGUUAAAUGUUCAAGGUAUCGGAUGGGCAUGCGUCCUAUUAGUUAGUUGGCGGGGUAACAGCCCACCAAGACGAUGAUAGGUAGGGGUUCUGAGAGGAAGGUCCCCCACAUUGGAACUGAGACACGGUCCAA